AUAACAUAGUAAAGAAGAAGAGAAGAACAAAAGAAGAAGAGAACAACUGAAGAAGGGAAAAGAAAGAAGAAGAAUGUACCUGAGAGAGUCGCAACUCGCGACGCAAAGGUCUGAGUAGUAGCGAAGGUCUCGUCCUCUCAAAGGCUAGAGAGUCGUGAUUGGAAGAGGAGAAGAGAUCGCGCAGGUCGCAGUAGAGAGAAGAGGAUCCCAGGUUUGCAAAAACACCAAAAAACCCUAAUUUUGCCUUUUAAUUAUUAUAUCUGACCUUUUU
This 271-nucleotide long non-coding RNA is filed under the name Solanum tuberosum (potato). RNAcentral describes it as "long non-coding RNA (STUB_LNC008694)". Lineage: Eukaryota; Viridiplantae; Streptophyta; Magnoliopsida; Solanales; Solanaceae. The record is from RNAcentral.